Long non-coding RNA from Gadus chalcogrammus (walleye pollock), 875 nucleotides. RefSeq lists it as uncharacterized. The record is from RefSeq and is a predicted model, not a curated record. Lineage: Eukaryota; Metazoa; Chordata; Actinopteri; Gadiformes; Gadidae. The transcript is spliced from 6 exons.
CAAGUUUUCCCGCUUCUUCUCAGUUUGGGGCCGAAUCAACUGAACAAUAGAAUCUCGGAUCUCCAUUUUUGUGCCAUUCAAGUGCAUGUGACGAUUGAUCUGGACUCAAGCUGUAGGCCUACCAGUCAGAUGAGUAACUCAGUGGAGGAGGAGGACUUUGCGGAUAUCAGGGCCUACUUUUCCACAACAAAAUGGAACCGCCUCUGUAUGGCAGAGAAAAAAAGAUUCCUGCAGAUCAAGGAAAACCAUUUGGUUAUGUCGUCUCUUGGCCUGUCCUUUGUGGCUCCAGCCUUCAUGAGGAGAGAGAAGCCCGGCCAGGUGAGAGUCUGCUCACCUGAAGAGACAGACUCUGAGGAGGAGCAGCUCUGGACCUCUGGAUUGACCGGGUUAACAGCUAGUAGAGGAGGCCUACGUGGUGUGGCGUGGCCUGAAGCCAACACUCUGAAGCCAUUAUGUGUCACCAAAGCUGUAAAGAAAGAGCAUCUGAGAGAGAGAGAGAGAGAGCGAGAGAGACUUUCCUGAUCUACUCACUCACUCUCCACCUAGUCCUGGGUCUUCCCCGAGGUCUCCUCCCCACUGGACGUGCCUGAAACACCUCCCAAGGGAGGCGCCUAGUGGGCAUCCUUGCCAGAUGCCCGAAAUGAUGAACAACAUUCAUGACAUUCACAUUAACAUUAUGUUAACAAUGCUAUAAUAAGUCAAUAAGUCAUUUAAGUCACUCAUAUCUUAUAAUACUUAAGGAAACUGUCUCAUUAAAAUAUUUACUUGAUUAACAGAAGAACCUACAGACAGACAGACAGUCUGUCUGUAGGCCUACAGUUACCCUACAGCAGGGGUGCCCAACCUUUUUUGACCCAAGAUCUACUUUUCAAGUA